AGCAGUAGCCGCGGUAAUACGUAGGGUGCAAGCGUUAAUCGGAAUUACUGGGCGUAAAGCGUGCGCAGGCGGUUAUAUAAGACAGAUGUGAAAUCCCCGGGCUCAACCUGGGAACUGCAUUUGUGACUGUAUAGCUAGAGUACGGCAGAGGGGGAUGGAAUUCCGCGUGUAGCAGUGAAAUGCGUAGAUAUGCGGAGGAACACCGAUGGCGAAGGCAAUCCCCUGGGCCUGUACUGACGCUCAUGCACGAAAGCGUGGGGAGCAAACAGGAUUAGAUACCCGUGUAGUCCCUGUCUCUUAUAA
Molecule: ribosomal RNA, 303 nt
Filed under: uncultured bacterium
Lineage: Bacteria
Description: partial 16S ribosomal RNA
Rfam family: Bacterial small subunit ribosomal RNA
Source: RNAcentral